This is a long non-coding RNA of Mus musculus (house mouse), 968 nucleotides long. RefSeq annotates it as predicted gene, 42060. The transcript is spliced from 3 exons. Lineage: Eukaryota; Metazoa; Chordata; Mammalia; Rodentia; Muridae. The record is from RefSeq and is a predicted model, not a curated record.
UCCCCCCUUCUACCCCUUCACCAAGUCCUCCUCCCCCUUUUCCACAAUAAGCAAUAAACUUCCCUUAUAUCAUGUCUGUCACAUGGUGUGAUUUCUCAGGGGGACAGCUUGGCAAGGGCUUGCCAGGUAUCCCCUUACCCUGCCAGCACCACACUAUAUUUCAUAACAUGGGUGCCAAAAGACUCGGGAGGUUCUUCUGGUGUUGGUGCUUCUCGUGGGUCUAAGCCACACAACAGGACCCUACAGUCAACCUACAACAACUAUACUUUCUGGCUCACCUACUGCUCUUCAACCCAUCUGCUAAUGACACUUAGGAAAAAACCCCCUCAUCGGCUGAGCCUCAUGGCCAGACUGCCUCUGCCCGCAGUGCCAUAGAGACCACAGGAACCUGGGAGCACUGUCUGGGCAGCGGACCAUGGACGAAUCUCUGUUGUUUUAAUUGAUCUAUGACAUCGGGAUUAAAACGUAUCCUUUCAGAUCUCGGACCACAUUGCUGACUGUAGCUUGACAGCUCGGGAACAGGCAAGGAGCUUCUUAGCCCCAGCUCUGUCCCACAGAGAACUCCAGCGAGGGACCACAGCGGGGAACUGGCUGGAAUGCUGGGCAUACCAGGAAGAUUGGCCCCUCAGGCUUGGAAGAUGCUUGCUCAGACUGUGAGAUGCAUGCCUUGCAAACACAAGGACCUGACCUGAACGCCCAGGACCCACAUUAAAACAAAACAGACAAACAAACAACACAAAAGACUGAAAUUGUAAUGGAGAAAGGAAGGUUGGUCCUUCGGGCUCACUGGCUGGCCAGCCUACCCUGCUAGAUAAGUUUCAGGCCAGGGUGGGAUCUGAUGUCCUGUUCAGAAAGGUGGAUGGCUGUUGAGAAACAACACUCAGACUCAGAUACCACACACCCACACCCACCCACACACACACACACAGAGCACUCACCACACACAUGUAUACCCAUCACCCACACAC